GGCAUACUUUUUUUUUUUUUUUCAUUUUUGAGACAAGGUCUCACUCCGUUGCCCUGAAUGGACAGUGUAGAUGAGUGCAGCCUUGCAUUCAGAGAGAUCUGCCCACCUCUAUCUCCUGGGUGCUGGGAUUAAAAGUCUGUGCCAACCUCUCAGCUUUUUCCAGAUUUCCACUGUUUGUAUAAUGGUUGGCCCAUUUGACUACUGAUAGUCACUUGAGAUGCUCCCACCCACCACUGCUGUGAAUAACGGUGUGAGCCCUGGCGUCCAGACACCAUGUGAGUCCUUGCUAUCAACACUUCUGUGUGUACCUAGACCACAUGGUGACUGUGUGCACUGCAUAAACUUUUAAGAUCCUGCAGUGUGCAUGGAGGAAAAGAUAAAGGAUGGAACCUGGCACACUUGGAUCCUUUUGAGAGACAGGCUCCUACAGGGCAGCCACCAAUCAAAGUGUCCUCUCUCUGCUCGCCAACAGGGUCCCACAUCUACCUUCGUCCGGCACAUAGCUGGUUCUCAAUAAGUAUCAGUAAGGAAUACAUGCUGCCCACUGCUUAUCCUCUAGUAAAAAACAACUAAAAGUGUCUAAGAAAAGAAAAAGACGGCCCUUGUGUGUGUGUGCAUGUGCUUUCCUGGGUGUGUGCAGGGGUACUUAUAGGGGUGUGUGUGUGUGUGUGUGUUUUCUUUGUUUUAUUUUGGUUUGCUUGGAUUUGUUUUGCUUUUGUUUUUUUUUUUUUUUUACUGGCCUGUUUGUUUUCUAAAAAGAGAGAAAGAAGGCAAGGAGUUAGAUGGUUGGGGAGGGAGGGAGUGUCUGGGAGAUGAGGAAGGGGAAAGAGUUCAGAAUAUACUGCAUGAAAAAAAGUUAUUUUCAAUUUAAAAAGAAAAAAAUCUCCU
Molecule: long non-coding RNA, 888 nt
Filed under: Rattus norvegicus (Norway rat)
Lineage: Eukaryota; Metazoa; Chordata; Mammalia; Rodentia; Muridae
Description: long non-coding RNA NONRATT011508
Source: RNAcentral